AAACAAAGAGGAUAAUCAUCUAAU
This 24-nucleotide small nuclear RNA is filed under the name Arabidopsis thaliana (thale cress). RNAcentral's name for it is "snRNA_11058". The record is from RNAcentral. Lineage: Eukaryota; Viridiplantae; Streptophyta; Magnoliopsida; Brassicales; Brassicaceae.